RNAcentral lists this microRNA (23 nucleotides) under Monodelphis domestica (gray short-tailed opossum). RNAcentral's name for it is "Mdo-Mir-7373-P1b_5p* (star (passenger))". The record is from RNAcentral. Lineage: Eukaryota; Metazoa; Chordata; Mammalia; Didelphimorphia; Didelphidae.
AAGCCCUUUUUCUGGUAGUUGAG